CGGAACACGUACGCAACUUUCCCAAAACUGGUGAAUAGCCCUCCGAAAGGAGGAUUAAUACACCGUAAGAUAAUGAGAUGGCAUCAUCAUAUUAUUAUAGCUCCGGCGGUUUUGGAUGGGCGUGCGCCUGAUUAGGUAGUUGGCGGGGUAACGGCCCACCAAGCCUGCGAUCAGUAACUGGUGUGAGAGCACGACCAGUCACACGGGCACUGAGACACGGGCCCG
RNAcentral lists this ribosomal RNA (225 nucleotides) under uncultured bacterium. RNAcentral's name for it is "partial 16S ribosomal RNA". It matches the Rfam family "Bacterial small subunit ribosomal RNA", at positions 109 to 334 of the family's 1533-position model. The record is from RNAcentral.